UAUGUGAUACAUUCCUGCCCAGUGACUUUAGUUCAACGGCCGCAGUAUCUUAACUGUGCAAAGGUAGCAUAAUCACUUGCCUAUUAAUUGUAGGCUAGUAUGAACGGAUAAACGAAAUAAAGACUAUCUCAAUUAAACACCUAAAAAUUAUUCUUUACAUGAAGAAAUGUAAAUAAGUUCGAAAGACAAGAAGACCCUAUAGAGCUUUAUUUUAACAUAUUAUAAAACUAUUAAAAAUUCGGUUGGGGCGACCUCGGGACUAUAAAACACCCGUAAAUAAAAAGACUACUAAAUCAUUUAAUUGACCCUAAAAAGAUCACAAAAUUAAGCUACCUUAGGGAUAACAGGCUAAUCUUAUUAAAGAGUUCAUAUCUAUAAUAAGGGUUGGCACCUCGAUGUUGGCUUARGGUAUCUAUAUAGCGCAAAAGUUAUAAAAUGAUGGUUUGUYCAACCAUAAUC
RNAcentral lists this ribosomal RNA (459 nucleotides) under Terrisswalkerius carbinensis. RNAcentral's name for it is "partial 16S ribosomal RNA". It matches the Rfam family "Bacterial large subunit ribosomal RNA", at positions 1844 to 2592 of the family's 2925-position model. Lineage: Eukaryota; Metazoa; Annelida; Clitellata; Crassiclitellata; Megascolecidae. The record is from RNAcentral.